RNAcentral lists this ribosomal RNA (510 nucleotides) under uncultured bacterium. RNAcentral's name for it is "partial 16S ribosomal RNA". It matches the Rfam family "Bacterial small subunit ribosomal RNA", at positions 28 to 507 of the family's 1533-position model. The record is from RNAcentral.
GACGAACGCUGGCGGCGUGCUUAACACAUGCAAGUCGAACGAAGAGCGAUGGAAGCUUGCUUCUAUCAAUCUUAGUGGCGAACGGGUGAGUAACGCGUAAUCAACCUGCCCUUCAGAGGGGGACAACAGUUGGAAACGACUGCUAAUACCGCAUACGAUCUAAUCUCGGCAUCGAGGAUAGAUGAAAGGUGGCCUCUACAUGUAAGCUAUCACUGAAGGAGGGGAUUGCGUCUGAUUAGCUAGUUGGAGGGGUAACGGCCCACCAAGGCGAUGAUCAGUAGCCGGUCUGAGAGGAUGAACGGCCACAUUGGGACUGAGACACGGCCCAGACUCCUACGGGAGGCAGCAGUGGGGAAUCCUCCGCAAUGGACGAAAGUCUGACGGAGCAACGCCGCGUGAGUGAUGACGGCCUUCGGGUUGUAAAGCUCUGUUAAUCGGGACGAAAGGCCUUCUUGCGAAUAGUGAGAAGGAUUGACGGUACCGGAAUAGAAAGCCACGGCUAACUACGUG